CUUACCAUCGGUUCAGUAAGAUUUUCUAAAGGUCGUCGAUCUCGUUUGAUCAGACGGUCGAGAACUGAACCAACAAUCAUUACUUAUAUAUCCAAAAGCUCCCCUACCUCCUCCCAGCCCAUCGUCUCCCAUCUCCCUUCAUAGAUUAACCAAAUCGCCGCCUUAAACCGCCAUCUACACCCGCCAGAAUUCGGCCAUGGCAACGGCCGUCGGCUAAUCACCUCUAAAACUACACCCGUGAUUCCUCUCUACCACCAUAUCCCAAAUCUCCAAACACAUCUUCUCAAAUCCCUCUAAAAUUCCUCGAAUUUUAGAUCGAAAAGCGAAACCUUAAUAGCCACCCUAAAAUCCCACCGCCUUAGGGUAGCGGUGCCACCCCCAACUACCACCAAAUAGCACCAUAUAACCUUCUCAUUACCCUAUUUCCAAAUCCAUAGUCCUUUUCCCUCAAAUAUGCCCAGAACUCUUGGAAUAUUACAUCUAAGUUUGUAGUCGUAAAAUCCAAAAUCGAUUUUCAUUGAGUCGGGUGGAAUGCAUGGUCUGGAGAGGUUGUUUUUUUCAAGCUUUGAAGAUUAGAGUCAAGAAAACUAAUGUUUUUCAGUUGUUCUUAACAAAGAAUAAAUGAUCGACAUUAGUUUGUUGAGUCGUUUGUCUCCGGUAGAUUCUCAAUUUCUAGUUUGGUAUGUUCCUUGCACUCCUUUCAUUCUCUCUUUCUUUUGUUAUUUUAUUCUUAGUCUACUCCCCCUUUUUUCUUAGUUAGUUUUUUUUUCUGUUAAUAUGGUUAAAGCUCGACCAACCAUUUGAGUUUAAGUGGCCUUCUCUUCAUCUCUUUUCUAUCAUUUAUGAAAGUUUUGCUCCUUGAUUUCUCUUAGUGUGGUAGCUUUUCUUAUUAACCUAAUUAAAAUUCUAAUUUCAUUUCUCGUUUAGUCGCUUAGUUUAAUAACUUGGUCAAUUUCUUGUUUAUCCAUGUUUAAUAACCGUUCAAUUAUUGUAAUUUGAUGUUUAGAAUUAUUUAAGUAUUUUUCCUCUGUUUGUUUACCAAUAGGAUUUAGUCUCAUUUUACUUAUUCGGAUUUGAAGCCAUUUCGAACAUCACUCCCAGGGAUUUAUUUGGUUCAUUAGGUCAAAAUUCAGCCCAUAUUGGGUUUUGACUAUUGGAUCAAUUUGACCCAUGACCCAUGUUGGUCUGGUCCCUGAAGUAAAAAUAGGGCUCCUAGGGGUUAAAUUAGGAAAGAAUCACUAAUAACAUCCUAGGAAACUUCCUUGAAACUUAAAAAUAGACUUACCUGGGAAACACGCCAAAAAUUCACGGAUUAAGUGACAAAAUAAAAAAAUAGCCUAGGUUUUCUAAGCAAAACUCAGAAUAUGAAAAGGGUCUAAAUGAAAAUUUAAUUUCUUUGAGGCUGCUCUAAUGGCUUGCUAUAAAGGCAUUGUUACUUGAAGUUCAAGACGGAUUUGGAGGGCAUAAAAUUCAGAAAAAAAAUAAAAACAGCUAAAAUUUUCAUAAAAAUCACUACUCCAUUAAAACCUCUUCUGUGAUCUUGGAGAUUCUUAAUUUCUGAAGCAAAAUUCUGAUUCAUCUAGGUUUACGAUGAGUUCGUAAAAUUUUAUUUUGAAAUUUACAUAUCUACUGCUCGAGUGAAACUGAUUACGAACUGCUGUACAUCAUCAUUCUUGGCCUGAAAUCAGUUUUAUUUUACUGUUGCUGGGGUUCUGUUCUCAUCCUAUUUGGCUAGUUCCCCACUCUUUUGUUUCUAUUUCUCCCUUUCUAGGUACAUAUCCUUGAUCUUAAGCAUGUUAAGAAAUGGUUCGUGCAGUAUUUUGAAGAAAGAUGAGGAUUUAUGUUUUCCUUUAUCAGAUAUUCCUCUUCUUUAUUUUCUUUCUCAACUUGCUGUGCCAAUUUCUUUAUCUUAGCAUGUUUAAAGUGAGGUUGUAAUUCAAACCUUGAGUCUUAUAUUAGAGUUGUAAUGGGGUUGUUGUUAAGUAGUUAUUGAUUUCCAUUUAUUUAAACAUCUAGGUUUGUUAUUAAUAGAAGUGUGAAUUUAUUUUUUUAGAUCCAUGAUAUGUGUGUGAGUCCAGAUUACAUGAGUAUUUUGGUUAAUUGCAAAGUUAAUAUAAUCAGAUUUGAUCAUGCUAGGGGUUUGGAUCUUAAUAAUCGGGUUGCAUGAAGUUUUUUGUUUUGCACUUUUUGUAAGGAAUGUUUAAUCUAUGUGGUUAUUUGUUCUUUAAAUUUACUAGUUGUUUGUUUUCUUUAAAUGAACCAAGGUUUUGGGUUAAAUGUAUGUGGAGGUUAGUAUAAUAUGGGAAUCCUGAGUGACAGAGGUGUUGGGUCUCUGUUAAAGAAAUCUGAUGUUCGAUCUUUUAGUUUCCAGUAAAAGGCCUUUGUUAAAACAAUUUUUUUGGUUUCAAUUCCAAUGUUAUACGUGUAGGUUUAAUUUAAAUAGAUCGUGUAUGGAGUGUUCUGUUAAAUCGAGAGUCUCAAUGAUACAUUCAUGUAUGGGUUCUAUAUUCCAUUGAUGCCCAUUAGUCAAUUAGUAAAAAUCUGAAAUUUAAUCGUUUAUGUAUAGUUUGCCCUAUUUUGGGCUCAAUGUUCGGCCAAAUGGGACAGCCUCCUUUCUCAUUAGCGUGUGAUUGAUCCUCAUUCGAGGAAUGGGUUUACUCUUGAGCCCAAUGUUGGGCACCUUUUGCACAUCCUAUUUAGCUGUUGCUUAACUUAUUUCCAAUUUGGGUAAUCAAUUCGUCAACUGCCUCACCAUAUGAUUAUAACUAGGUCUUAUACUAAAUUUUAGGAUUUGAUUCAUUUCAUUAUUGGAU
This 2813-nucleotide long non-coding RNA is filed under the name Nicotiana benthamiana. Its description in RNAcentral is "long non-coding RNA (NBEN_LNC004709)". The record is from RNAcentral. Lineage: Eukaryota; Viridiplantae; Streptophyta; Magnoliopsida; Solanales; Solanaceae.